RNAcentral lists this ribosomal RNA (162 nucleotides) under uncultured Hydrogenophilus sp. RNAcentral describes it as "partial 16S ribosomal RNA". The record is from RNAcentral. Lineage: Bacteria; Pseudomonadati; Pseudomonadota; Hydrogenophilia; Hydrogenophilales; Hydrogenophilaceae.
UUUUUCUUACGGGAGGCAGCAGUGGGGAAUCUUGACAAGGGGCCAACCGUAAUCCAGCAAAGCCGCGGAGCAAGAAGGCGUUAGGGCGGUAAAGCGAUGAAUCCGGAGGAAGUAAACCCUUACACCGAGGAAAGACGGUACGGAGAAAAGCACAGCUACUCG